GAUGAAGAACGCAGCGAAAUGCGAUAAGUAAUGUGAAUUGCAGAAUUCAGUGAAUCAUCGAAUCUUUGAACGCACAUUGCGCCCGUCAGUAUUCUGGCGGGCAUGCCUGUUCGAGCGUCAUUACGCCCCUCAAGUCCCUUGUGGACUUGGUGUUGGGGAUCGGCGAGGCUGGUUUUCCAGCACAGCCGUCCCUUAAAUUAAUUGGCGGUCUCGCCGUGGCCCUCCUCUGCGCAGUAGUAAAACACUCGCAACAGGAGCCCGGCGCGGUCCACUGCCGUAAAACCCCCCAACUUUUUAUAGUUGACCUCGAAUCAGGUAGGACUACCCGCUGAACUUAAGCAUAUCAAUAAGCGGAGGA
This 358-nucleotide unclassified non-coding RNA is filed under the name soil metagenome. RNAcentral's name for it is "partial contains 5.8S ribosomal RNA, internal transcribed spacer 2, and large subunit ribosomal RNA". The stretch from base 1 to 120 matches the Rfam family "5.8S ribosomal RNA", at positions 35 to 154 of the family's 154-position model. The record is from RNAcentral.